GAUCAUGGCUCAGGAUGAACGCUAGCUACAGGCUUAACACAUGCAAGUCGAGGGGCAUCAGUUUGGUUUGCUUGCAAACCAAAGCUGGCGACCGGCGCACGGGUGAGUAACACGUAUCCAACCUGCCUCAUACUCGGGGAUAGCCUUUCGAAAGAAAGAUUAAUAUCCGAUAGCAUAUAUUUCCCGCAUGGGUUUUAGUUAUUAAAGUAAAAUUACGGUUAGUGAGAUGGGGAGUGCGUUCCCUAUUUAAG
Molecule: ribosomal RNA, 251 nt
Filed under: uncultured bacterium
Lineage: Bacteria
Description: partial 16S ribosomal RNA
Rfam family: Bacterial small subunit ribosomal RNA
Source: RNAcentral